AGAGUUUGAUCAUGGCUCAGAAUCAACGCUGGCGGCGCGCUUAACACAUGCAAGUCGCACGAGAAAGUGGAGCAAUCCAUGAGUACAGUGGCGUACGGGUGAGUAACACGUGGGUGAUCUACCUCUUAGUGGGGAAUAACCCUGGGAAACCGGGGCUAAUACCGCAUAAGCUCGAGAGAGGAAAGCAGCAAUGCGCUGAGAGAGGAGCCCGCGGCCGAUUAGCUAGUUGGUAGGGUAAAAGCCUACCAAGGCUGAGAUCGGUAGCCGGCCUGAGAGGGCACACGGCCACACUGGCACUGAAACACGGGCCAGACUCCUACGGGAGGCAGCAGUGGGGAAUCUUGCACAAUGGGGGAAACCCUGAUGCAGCGACGCCGCGUGAGCGAUGAAGCCCUUCGGGGUGUAAAGCUCUUUCGGCAGGGAAGAUUAUGACGGUACCUGCAGAAGCAGCUGCGGCUAACUACGUGCCAGCAGCCGCGGUAAUACGUAGGCAGCGAGCGUUGUUCGGAGUUACUGGGCGUAAAGGGUGUGUAGGCGGUUCUUUAAGUUUGGUGUGAAAUCUCCCGGCUCAACCGGGAGGGUGCGCCGAAUACUGAGGGACUAGAGUGCGGGAGAGGAAAGUGGAAUUCCUGGUGUAGCGGUGAAAUGCGUAGAUAUCAGGAGGAACACCGGUGGUGUAGACGGCUUUCUGGACCGUAACUGACGCUGAGACACGAAAGCGUGGGUAGCAAACAGGAUUAGAUACCCUAGUAGUCC
RNAcentral lists this ribosomal RNA (756 nucleotides) under uncultured bacterium. RNAcentral describes it as "bacterial SSU rRNA". It matches the Rfam family "Bacterial small subunit ribosomal RNA", at positions 8 to 796 of the family's 1533-position model. The record is from RNAcentral.